CCCGCUCAGAAACUCAAAGGAAUUGACGGGGCCCGCACAAGCGGUGGAGCAUGUGGUUUAAUUCGAUGAUACGCGAGGAACCUUACCUGGGCUCAAAUGUAUGUUGACGUAUUCUGAAAGGGAUACUUCUUCGGACAAUAUACAAGGUGCUGCAUGGUUGUCGUCAGCUCGUGCCGUGAGGUGUCGGGUUAAGUCCCAUAACGAGCGCAACCCCUAUCAUUAGUUGCCAUCAGGUCAAGCUGGGGACUCUAAUGAAACUGCCUACGCAAGUAGUGAGGAAGGUGGGGAUGACGUCAAAUCAGCACGGCCCUUACGUCCAGGGCUACACACGUGCUACAAUGGCCGGUACAAAGGGCAGCUACCUGGUGACAGGAUGCUAAUCUCAAAAGCCGGUCUCAGUUCGGAUCGGAGUCUGCAACCCGACUCCGUGAAGUUGGAUUCGCUAGUAAUCGCGCAUCAGCCAUGGCGCGGUGAAUACGUUCCCGGGCCUU
RNAcentral lists this ribosomal RNA (491 nucleotides) under uncultured Sphingobacteriales bacterium. RNAcentral's name for it is "bacterial SSU rRNA". It matches the Rfam family "Bacterial small subunit ribosomal RNA", at positions 888 to 1382 of the family's 1533-position model. The record is from RNAcentral. Lineage: Bacteria; Pseudomonadati; Bacteroidota; Sphingobacteriia; Sphingobacteriales.